GACGAAGAACGCAGCGAAAUGCGAUACGUAAUGUGAAUUGCAGAAUUCAGUGAAUCAUCGAAUCUUUGAACGCAUAUUGCGCUCUCUGGUAUUCCGGAGAGCAUGCUUGUUUGAGUAUCAGUAAACACCUCAACUCCCUUUUCUUUUUUGAAAUUGGAGCUGGACUUGAGUGAUCCCAACGCUUUCUUCCAAGAAAGUGGCGGGUUGCUUGAAAUGCAGGUGCAGCUGAACUUUUCUCUGAGCUAUAAGCAUAUCUAUUUAGUCUGCCUAAAAAACAGAUUAUUACCUUUGCUGCAGCUAACAUAAAGGAGACUAGUUCUUGUGCUGACUGAUGCAGGAUUCACAGAGACAGCUUCGGCUGACUUUGUAAACUCGAUCUCAAAUCAAGUAAGACUACCCGCUGAACUUAAGCAUAUCAAUAAGCGGAGGA
This 430-nucleotide unclassified non-coding RNA is filed under the name soil metagenome. RNAcentral's name for it is "partial contains 5.8S ribosomal RNA, internal transcribed spacer 2, and large subunit ribosomal RNA". The stretch from base 1 to 120 matches the Rfam family "5.8S ribosomal RNA", at positions 35 to 154 of the family's 154-position model. The record is from RNAcentral.